GAGCUAUGAGGAUUUGCCUUUAGCGAUGGUUGGGUCCUUCGCAUUACUCUGAUUCUUCGGAUGAGAUAUGGCCAUGUUUCUGAGCUC
Small nucleolar RNA from Eutrema salsugineum, 87 nucleotides. It matches the Rfam family "small nucleolar RNA snoR114". Lineage: Eukaryota; Viridiplantae; Streptophyta; Magnoliopsida; Brassicales; Brassicaceae. The record is from Rfam.